CCGUAAACCAUCUCUCUCUCUCUCUCUUCAAGCAGCUGUCAAACCAAACACUUUCAUGGGCCCGGUGGCGUCUAUCAUGUUUCUCUAACUGCUCAAUCAUAGUUUAAACCCAUUUUUAUUUUCAUGAUAAGCUAUAUUUUUUCUCCCUCACUCUCUCUGUAUAAAAAACAUGUUCACGGUGAAACAUGUGGUUCAUCACCUAGCAAUACCAAGACGAUGAUCUGGAUCUUAUAAUUGUGUUUUCUUUUAAUUUGGAUCUUAUAAUUGUGUUUGUGCUUCAUUGAUUUUUUUGAAUUAUGUAUAAAUGUACAAACAUUAACUUUGAUUCUCUUCAUAUCAGUUCUUCCUGAAAACAAGUUAUAUUCAUUUACGUUAGCAAGUGAUAAAGUAACGAAUCUGAGUUAUAGCAGACAAAGAAAAAGAUUCAUUGAAAGGAGUUUGAGAGAAGCACAUAUGCAGUUAUAUCACGUGGCUGAUGGAGAAUUCUUCACUGAAUCUAGUCUAUUGAACUGAUUCAGCUUCACGACCAACGGAAAUCCAAGAUGAAUACAGAUAAAGAGAACGAGAAAAAAAAAAGGAAAAAGAAGAAUCACAACUGAAGAAAUCCUCAUGAUUAAUUUUGUUAACUGUUUUUUUUCUUCUGAAAGUUCAUCAUUUUCUUUUUCCCGUUAUUUUGCUUCUCUGUAUAUAUUUUUUGUCAGAAUUUAUUUCGAUGGAUCAAAGAAAUAAUGGAAAAUGAUUUUAUUUGAUUUA
Molecule: long non-coding RNA, 753 nt
Organism: Brassica napus (rape)
Lineage: Eukaryota; Viridiplantae; Streptophyta; Magnoliopsida; Brassicales; Brassicaceae
Exons: 2
Source: RefSeq, a predicted model, not a curated record